AAGGAGCUGAGAAGGAGCCAUAUCAGCUGAAAAUGGUUUGGCCCACAAUAGUGAUAGGAUAAAUGGACCAGAACACGUUGCUAAGGGAGAAAAUUCAUUUAUUAAGUGAAGAGUGAAGAAAGAGAGAGUAGUUGUUUUCUUUGUUGAUAUGGCAGAAGUAAGAAGUGCACAAGUUAAAUCAAUAUUCAUAUACCCAGUGAAAUCAUGCCGUGGUAUUUCUGUUUCUGAAGCUGCCCUUUCUUCUACUGUUGGAAUUCUUAGAUAAUUGGGGAUACGAUCAUAUGAAGUUGGUAAGAGUGAUUGGCCAACUGAAAUUGAGAACUGAUUCCUAACCAAUGUGCAAUAGACGACUGCUUUCUGUUACAAUAAGCCCUCUCAUUUCACCAUUUUACAGUUACAACACUAGAUUUGCUGAUAUAGAGCGUAAACACUCAUCCAACUUGAACCCUCGAUCGGGAAAAGAUGACGGCUUAGUAAACUUUAAAUAUCUCUCGUUCUGUCAAUAUUAGCCCAAAUUUGUAUAACCCCUCUAAUCGAAGUAUGACAGGUUAGUUGUUCGUAUUGAAAGUAUGACAGAUUAGGCGAUUGAUAUUAUUAUGGAAGUGUCAUAACGGAGUAACUGGGCUAAAAGAGUGUAGCUCGACAAGUUAAUUGUCAACGGAAGUGGCAGAGUCCUUAAGAAUAGCUGAUGUUGUGAUACAGUUUGCAACAGACUUCCAAGUUGCAACAGUAAGGAUUGACAAUAGCAAAUGAUUUACUUCCUAAAGUUGCAUACUUAGUGUGGAUUUUGGUACAGGAAGCCUGCCUUACACUAGAUAAAUUUGAUGAGAAUGGGGUUCACAUAUGUAGUGGAUGCUUUAUGUGUGAAAAGAAAUUGGAAGAUGCAGAACAUUUGUUUCUGCAUUGUCCUUUAGCAACAGAAUUUUGGAGUAUAUUUUUGGACGUAUGUGAAGUCAAAUCAGUGAUGCCUAAGACCUUGAAGCAAUCUUUUUGCAAUUGGUAGAGAAGGAGAAUCUAGAGAGAGGGAUCAAUCUAUGUUUUGAAGGGUGUAGGAGAUCUUUGUAAAUAAUUUAGACAUUUUGCUAUUUUUGUUAGUUCCCUACAUACAUAGCUAAUAGAGAAUAUUUUUGUA
This is a non-coding RNA of Nicotiana tabacum (common tobacco), 1132 nucleotides long. The record is from RefSeq and is a predicted model, not a curated record. NCBI's taxonomy places the organism in Eukaryota, Viridiplantae, Streptophyta, Magnoliopsida, Solanales, Solanaceae.